UAUUUUAAUAGCUUAUAAAGAGUGUGAUAUUGAAGAUAUCAAGGAGGUAAAUUUACUUUAAAAUAU
Molecule: transfer RNA, 66 nt
Filed under: Micronychus sp. UPOL MT0012
Lineage: Eukaryota; Metazoa; Arthropoda; Insecta; Coleoptera; Lycidae
Description: tRNA-Phe
Source: RNAcentral